CUUGGAAAAAAGAAGCAUACUGUUUAUGUAAUGCUGCUGGGAUCGGGCGGGUUAACCGUUUGGGUCGGGCGGGUUUACAUUGACUGGGUGGGCUAAUUUUGGACCGACGUAAGACUGGCCCGAAUGUGUAACGGUGAGGGUAUAUUUGUUAAAGAAUUCAAACGAGUAUAAAUGUAACUUAUUUUGAAUAGUACAAGAGCAAAUCCGACCCUUAACCGAUCAAAAUAAAAAUAUAAUCACAGAACACUGAACAUAUUUCUCUUUUUUUGUAUUUUUCUUGUUAUGGAACUAAACUAAAAAUAUGAAGAUGAAUAAUAGAGAAUAAGAAGACGAACGUUUUCUAAAACCCUAAUUUCCUCUCAAAAAAUCUGCCCGAAAAUCUCCUCUUCUCAGAGUCAAAUCUUCUCUUUUAAAGAUAUGUUCUAUAAAGAUAGAGGGAUAUGAUUAACCUUAAUUCAAUCCUAGGGCUCUUAUCUCUCCAAAACAUGCCUUUUAAAGAGAUUGACGUGUGAUUUUGGUUAGUACGAAGCGAGUGAAAGAAGGUAUGCGAGUACUGAGAAUAUUCCUUCUGUUAGAAGCGUUAGGGUUGGUGAUGUGGAAGAGGGAGAGGGGAAGGGACCGAGUGAGGUGAGUUGGGAUGAACUCGCCUGAGUUUCAGGCGAGUUUGGGCGAGGUGAUGCGCGGCAGUGAUGACGAAGAAUGGGGCGCCGUUUCUAGGUUCUUAGGUUAGAA
RNAcentral lists this long non-coding RNA (732 nucleotides) under Nicotiana benthamiana. Its description in RNAcentral is "long non-coding RNA (NBEN_LNC013184)". Lineage: Eukaryota; Viridiplantae; Streptophyta; Magnoliopsida; Solanales; Solanaceae. The record is from RNAcentral.